Molecule: transfer RNA, 57 nt
Filed under: Plutella xylostella (diamondback moth)
Lineage: Eukaryota; Metazoa; Arthropoda; Insecta; Lepidoptera; Plutellidae
Description: tRNA-Ser
Source: RNAcentral
GACCGAAUGGCGUAGUGGUUAGUGCUCCAGUCCCGGGUUCGAUUCCCGGCUGGGGCA